This is a long non-coding RNA of Gambusia affinis (western mosquitofish), 1857 nucleotides long. RefSeq lists it as uncharacterized. The record is from RefSeq and is a predicted model, not a curated record. NCBI's taxonomy places the organism in Eukaryota, Metazoa, Chordata, Actinopteri, Cyprinodontiformes, Poeciliidae. The transcript has 4 exons.
GUGGCGGGGAAGUUUUGUGUCGCUAAGGUCGAAGCUGAAGUUGGUGAUAAAUUUGAUGAUGUCGACAAUGGCAGUCGAGGAAUUUCUUACUCCACCUUGAAUGAGGAUGCAGAGGAUUUUCCAGAAAGCCGGCCAAGCUGUUUGAAAGACCAGUGGUACAAAAGAGACAAGUCGGGAUUAUUUACCACUACAUCCUGCAAUCUGAAGCGCCGUAGCUACUGUGCCCCAGGAACGCCUGCAGCCAUGCAGCAAUCAAAACACUUGUGAUUUGAGGAAAAACAGCAGGAGGCUGUGAGAUCGCUGCAAGUUCUCUACAAAGUUCAUGCACAAGAUUUUACUGGUGCAAAGUUUCCAGAUGCUCUUCUUCUCCUCAGAGAACCCAAGGAAGGGCAAUAUUCAGGUACUCAGAAAAAAAAAUCACAUUGGUGGUUGUAGGUUUUUCUAUAGCUGACUUUUGUGUCUUUCUGCUUGUGUUUUUCUUUUAUAUGGGAGAAGUCAUUUAGAUUAGCUGAUUGUUGUUGAAUAGCCACUGUUUUUUAGUGCAAUUCUUACUGAUUCACAUGCUUGUGUUUGAAGCUCAACAAGUUGUUUUGAUGUCUAGCUGUCUAGAGGCAUGAAGUCUCUGCCUGCCAAGUGGUUGCUGAUUAAUUUUAUUGGCUAUUAUAGUAUACAUAUGCAACUAUGAACGUGUUCAGGGAAUGUAGAAUUAGGUUUUAUUUAGGUUAAUUAAUUACUUUCAAGUCUGAUUUGUACAUUUGAAGUAUUUUAUCUAUUUAAAUUUUAAUGUGCUUGUCUGGAUAUAUCAAUAUUUCUAAAAGAUCAUUUGAAAUUGCGUAUCAAAUCAUGUAGUUGCUCUUAAGGUGCAAGCCUUUCCCCUAAUAGCUGUGCAUGCAGAAAACUCAUUCAAUCCCCAAUUACACUAUGGUAAUGUAAGUCUCUCUUAAUUGUCCAUUAACAUAAUUAUCACAGGCAGUAAUUACCUUUCAAAGUAAUGGGCACCAAAAUGGCCCAGUAGCUGAAAUUUGAUAAGCGCUAUGCCUAAAUUAGACCCAUGAUGUUUUACCUGAGUUAUAAAAAUUCACUAGGGAGUGAUUAUACCACAAAAACAGAUAAUUAACAGCUUAAGCAACACAAUUUUGGCUUUAAAACAUCAAGCCUGGAAAAUAGAUUGAUAUGUCAGCUAAAACUCUGAUGAAACAAUGGGAAAAGGAAAGGCCAUUUUCUCUGAGCUGUUCCGAGUUUGAGAAAUGUAAAGAAAUUGGAGAAUAUUAAGAGAACAUAGUGGUAUCAAAUUUAGACAAAUAUUUUUAAGAUUGGAAGGAAAAAGAAAAGAGUCAUCCAAUAAUAACGACACAAAACAGACACAAGCGCACAAACUAUAAAGGACAACAAAGAGUAAGUCAAUGAGAGAAAUGAUGGGCCUUCAUAAUGACAACCUGAUAAACACUUGAGAUUCGGACAACUGCAUUCUGGCUGCUGUUCAUUGCCCCCCAUCCUGUAAUAAUCAUUAUGAACAACAUCAUAUAUUUACUUACCACAUGUGUGUGUAUGAACACAUAUGUUUUCAGCAAAAAAUAACUGAUGUGAUAAUGCUGUAAGAAUUGUGUGUGGAAUGGCAGGCUGAAAAGCAGCACAAUUUGUUCUUCAAGUUACAAGAGUGAAUGGCUGAUAUUUCAACUACUAUUAUUCUUGCAUUACCAUUAACCAUCUAUUGGCUUCCAGUGCCUUACUUGAUUUGCUUCCAUGUGCUUCUUGAAAUAGUUUUGUUUUUUUUUUUUUUUUUCCUCUCCUAUUUUGUCACCCCUGUAUCAUGUCUGUUGUUGACAUUUCUUGCCAAAUAAAUGUCUAUACUACCUC